Small nuclear RNA from Lontra canadensis (Northern American river otter), 141 nucleotides. RefSeq annotates it as U4 spliceosomal RNA. The record is from RefSeq and is a predicted model, not a curated record. Lineage: Eukaryota; Metazoa; Chordata; Mammalia; Carnivora; Mustelidae. The transcript has a single exon.
GCCUGAGCUCAGUAGCAAUACUGUAGCCAGUGAGGUUUAUCAGAGGCACAAUACUUUCUAAUUGAAAACUUUUCCCAAUACCCUGCCUUAAGGGCUUGAAACAAAGAAAGUCUCUCAGUCCCUUCAUUUGUAAAAAAGGGA